UAGGGAAUCUUCGGCAAUGGACGGAANUNUGGACCGAGCAACCNCACGUGAGUGAAGAAGGUUUUCGGAUCGUAAAGCUCUGUUGUAAGAGAAGAACGAGUGUGAGAGUGGAAAGUUCACACUGUGACGGUAUCUUACCAGAAAGGGACGGCUAACUACGUGCCAGCAGCCGCGGUAAUACGUAGGUCCCGAGCGUUGUCCGGAUUUAUUGGGCGUAAAGCGAGCGCAGGCGGUUAGAUAAGUCUGAAGUUAAAGGCUGUGGCUUAACCAUAGUAGGCUUUGGAAACUGUUUAACUUGAGUGCAAGAGGGGAGAGUGGAAUUCCAUGUGUAGCGGUGAAAUGCGUAGAUAUAUGGAGGAACACCGGUGGCGAAAGCGGCUCUCUGGCUUGUAACUGACGCUGAGGCUCGAAAGCGUGGGGAGCAAACAGGAUUAGAUACCCUGGUAGUCCACGCUGUAAACGAUGAGUGCUAGGUGUUAGACCCUUUCCGGGGUUUAGUGCCGUAGCUAACGCAUUAAGCACUCCGCCUGGGGAGUACGACCGCAANUUG
This 550-nucleotide ribosomal RNA is filed under the name uncultured bacterium. RNAcentral's name for it is "bacterial SSU rRNA". It matches the Rfam family "Bacterial small subunit ribosomal RNA", at positions 355 to 896 of the family's 1533-position model. The record is from RNAcentral.